GAUGAACGCUGGCGGCGUGCCUAAUACAUGCAAGUCGAGCGAACGGACGAGAAGCUUGCUCCUCUGACGUUAGCGGCGGACGGGUGAGUAACACGUGGAUAACCUACCUAUAAGACUGGGAUAACUUCGGGAAACCGGAGCUAAUACCGGAUAAUAUAUUGAACCGCAUGGUUCAAUAGUGAAAGACGGUCUUGCUGUCACUUAUAGAUGGAUCCGCGCUGCAUUAGCUAGUUGGUAAGGUAACGGCUUACCAAGGCAACGAUGCAUAGCCGACCUGAGAGGGUGAUCGGCCACACUGGAACUGAGACACGGUCCAGACUCCUACGGGAGGCAGCAGUAGGGAAUCUUCCGCAAUGGGCGAAAGCCUGACGGAGCAACGCCGCGUGAGUGAUGAAGGUCUUCGGAUCGUAAAACUCUGUUAUUAGGGAAGAACAAAUGUGUAAGUAACUGUGCACAUCUUGACGGUACCUAAUCAGAAAGCCACGGCUAACUACGUG
RNAcentral lists this ribosomal RNA (497 nucleotides) under uncultured bacterium. RNAcentral's name for it is "partial 16S ribosomal RNA". It matches the Rfam family "Bacterial small subunit ribosomal RNA", at positions 28 to 507 of the family's 1533-position model. The record is from RNAcentral.